This 377-nucleotide ribosomal RNA is filed under the name uncultured cyanobacterium. RNAcentral's name for it is "bacterial SSU rRNA". It matches the Rfam family "Bacterial small subunit ribosomal RNA", at positions 376 to 770 of the family's 1533-position model. The record is from RNAcentral. Lineage: Bacteria; Bacillati; Cyanobacteriota.
CGCUUGCCUGACGGAGCAAGACCGCGUGCGGGAUGACGGCCUAAUGGUUGUAAACCGCUUUUCUCUGGGAAGAUGAUGACGGUACCAGAGGAAUCAGCCUCGGCUAACUCCGUGCCAGCAGCCGCGGUAAUACGGAGGAGGCAAGCGUUAUCCGGAAUUAUUGGGCGUAAAGCGUCCGUAGGUGGUUAUUCAAGUCUGCUGUCAAAGCGUGGGGCUUAACUCCAUAGAGGCAGUGGAAACUGGUUGACUAGAGUGCGGUAGGGGUCGAGGGAAUUCCCAGUGUAGCGGUGAAAUGCGUAGAUAUUGGGAAGAACACCAGUGGCGAAAGCGCUCGACUGGGCCUGCACUGACACUGAGGGACGAAAGCUAGGGGAGCG